AGUGUACGUCUUCAUAUUCCUUUCUUUCUGCAUUUAAGUUCUCUUAACGGUUUGACAAUGUUGUUUUCGUUACCGUGCCAACAGUGAACUUGCAGGGUCAAUGUGGAAGCCAAGAGAUUUCAAGCGAGUGUAUUUUUAUGCUGUCUUAUAUACUCUCACCUUGACGCUACCAUCUGCAUCAACUGUAUACUGGGCUUUUGGCGAUAGGAUGCUGCACAACGCUAACGCCUUCGCUGUUCUUCCCAGGACGAAGUUCCGCGAUGCCGCGGUAGUGCUGAUUAUCAUCCACCAGGUUUGUCAAAGAGUGUUUAUCCUUUUUUCUUUGUGUGUGCCAUUGUUCUAACUCUUUUAUCUUGCAGUUCUUUGAAUUUGGUCUCGUAGCGUUGCCAUUCUUCAUUAUGUGUGAGAAGCUUUUUGGGAUUCACCACUCGAAUUACUACCUGUUAAAAGUGGCUGCCAGGAUACCGGUUUUUCUCCUCAUAUGGUUUUGUGCGAUUAUGCUGCCUUUCUUUGGUCCCAUCGACUCCUUCAACGGUUCCUUUUUUACAACGCUCGCUGUUUACUUCCUUCCAUGCCUUGUGCAUAUGAUCGUCUUCAGAAGUGAGAAGGCACGCAAGGUAAAUGGUUUUUGUUUCCCUUUGCAUGUUGGUAACUUAACAAUGGCUUUUUGUUUUCUUAAAAGAGUUCAUUUGAGCAACCUCCAUUCUGGAUACGCAGCUGGGCUGGAAUGUAUUGCAUCAAUCUGGGAGUGAUUUUGUGGGUGGUGGUGGUGGGUGUUGGGAUUGGAGGAUGGGCAACGAUUUCCAAUUUGACAAGACAAGUGCGAAGCUUUGGGCUUUUUGCGAGGUGUUACCAGUGUCCACCAAAGUCUUGACGUCAGGAAGUUUUUUAGUGGAAGAGGUUCUUCCUGUAAACAAACCAUAUAUUACGUGGUCGCAUGUCCGCGGGUUCGAUCCCCGGCAACGGCGGAUUAACAAUCCGUGGUAACAACUCCCAAGCCCGAGGGACCAUCGGUGUUGAAGAUGGAAAAGGUUCGUUGGAGGCACUCUAGUUUCAUAUUUGAUUGUGGUGGUUUGGACGUGAUCAAUUCUUGCACCCUUAUGGAUUGACACUGUAACCAACUGGACAAGUGCGUGCUCUCUCUCGCAUGCUCUCUCUCUCUCUCUUUCUCUCUCUCUCCCUCUCCCCUAUCAUGAACAAGAGCAAAGACUACGGCUUCUUGGGCUUCAAGAACACCGAGAAGUCCAUCUGCUUGUGGAUCCAGAAAAUGAAGGAUAAAAAAAUCAUACUUAGUGACUGCUUCAAGAUUGAAGUGUGUGUACAGUAAGCAGCAGCCCGUCUCUCAAUUUAUCUAUCCCUGGAAACUUCAUUCCUUGUCUGGGCUUGUUUAGAAGUCAAGUCCAUAAUCAGCUACUUGGUAGCUUCCCUUGCAUCGUACUUCUCCUCUUUUUUCAAUUUCAGUGAUGCACAGAGUAUGGAUUCUAGUAGCAUCUCUCUGAGUGUCUGGGAUGAGUCCUCUCAACUAGAUCUAGUAGAUACCUCCUCAUCGCAGCGGCAGGAGCCUGCCAGUUCAGCGAUUGUGCCGCAGGAAACCGUCGGUGCUUCACGGUAUCGCGAGUUUAUCGAUAGAGUUUUAUGGAACGGAGGAUCGUCUUUCGAUGCCUGGCUCAACGCAGCGUCUUUUCAGGUUCGUGUGAGCUUUCUUUCUCCAGGUUCUUCUCACCGCUUUGUUCUUGCAGGUGUCUCAAGUCUUGCUCAAUCUCCCAUUCACAUUCGCUCAGAUGGGAAUGGCAUCAGGCAUUACUUUCCAAUUGCUCUAUGGCAUGAUGGGGUCCUGGGUUUCUUACAUCAUGACCAGCGUGUACCUCACUUAUCUAGCAACGCAAAGCUCGCAGCAGAAGAAAAAUCACGUUGUUCAGGUUUGUAUCAGUGAGAUCUCGCAGAGUGCUCUUGGCUGACCUUCCCUUCCAGUGGUAUGAAGUUAUGGAGUUUUUCCUCGGGCCUUGGGGCAAGGGAGCGACAUUGCUAUUAUACUUUUGCGGCUUGUCCUCCGGUGCCAUGAUCCAAAUGGUAGCCUGUGCGAGGUGCUUGAUUUUCUAAUGCUUUUCAAUUCUCUGCCUUUAUCCUGGAUAGCAUUGCAGUGCCGCGUACUAUAUCAAUGAUAGUCUCGACAAACGGACAUGGACCCUUGUCCUGGGGCCGUUCAUGUUUCUGGGUGUUUUGCUCCCCUCGCCGCGUAAUUAUCGGAUGUGGUCUUUUGCUGGGAUUAUCAUGACGACAUAUGUGGCUUGGUAUUUAACCAUUGCUGCAGCAGUCCACGGGAGAGUAAGCCGUUUGACAAUGGUAAAGUCACUGUGCUGAAUCUUGGGAAUUUGCAGGAUCCGGGGGUGAAGCACACUGGUCCUCAUAGCCUGGAAAACUAUUUUUUGGGCGCAUCUAACAUAAUCUACACAUUUGGAGGACACGGACUGACAGUGUACGUCUUCGUAUUCCUUUCUUUCUGCAUUUAAGCUCUCAUAACGGUUUGACAAUGUUGUUUUCGUUACCGUGCCAACAGUGAACUUGCAGGGUCAAUGUGGAAGCCAAGAGAUUUCAAGCGAGUGUAUUUUUAUGUCGUCUUAUAUACUCUCACCUUGACGCUACCAUCUGCAUCAACUGUAUACUGGGCUUUUGGCGAUAGGAUGCUGCACAACGCUAACGCCUUCGCUGUUCUUCCCAGGACGAAGUUCCGCGAUGCCGCGGUAGUGCUGA
Molecule: long non-coding RNA, 2751 nt
Filed under: Selaginella moellendorffii
Lineage: Eukaryota; Viridiplantae; Streptophyta; Lycopodiopsida; Selaginellales; Selaginellaceae
Description: long non-coding RNA (SMOE_LNC000513)
Source: RNAcentral